This 906-nucleotide long non-coding RNA is filed under the name Bos grunniens (domestic yak). Its description in RNAcentral is "lncRNA (ENSBGRG00000017154.1)". The record is from RNAcentral. Lineage: Eukaryota; Metazoa; Chordata; Mammalia; Artiodactyla; Bovidae.
GUUUGGAUCUCAUCUUUUACAGCUGUUUUCCCUUUUGUUUUAUAAACUUUAAAAUUUCCUGGUUCUCAUCAUUCCUCUGACCUCAGCAAUAUUGGAUGGUGACACCCAGAGCUUCUUGGUUUUCUUGCUCUUUAUCCAUGAAAACAAAAGAGAACAAACAAAAUACCUGUGUCAUGGAGGAGGGAGAUGUAAAGACAAAUCUUUCAUGCAAUCCAGUAUAAACACUGAAGCAUUUCAUCUGUAUUUGGAUAGCUACCAUAAACACAGCUUGAUCAGCUCAAUAUUCAGCGUAAAUUUAACAGAAACCAGAGGUUCUCUUGCUGUAUGUUUCCUGAAAAGAACAGUUCAUGCCAAGUUUCUGUGGCAAAGGUCAGUACUUAAUAGAUAUUGUGGUAUACUUAAUAACCCUAUGAAAUCCUGGAUGUUAAACCACAACUUGGAAUCAUAGCUCUAUUUUUCAGAUGUGUUCUUUUGCACAUAGCUUAAGGUGUAGAAACAGAUUUCCUGAACAUUUCCAAUUCUUUUCUUUAAAUUGUCUUUAAUAUAAAAGAAAAUUAUGCUUUUGAGUUAUUUCCACCAGUGCUGCUCUUGUUUCUUUCAUUUACACACUCUUUCAAGGUAAAAUUAGAAGAUCAGUAAUUGCAAAGAAGUACUUUAUUGAAUAACAAAACACAGCUGUUGAAACGAGAAAGUACACAAUUGUUAGUGCUAUGCAAAAGUAUGCGGGAAUAAAGAUAAUGGCAGCCUGGGUUAAGACACUGCAAAGCCUUCCCUUUCCUUCCCUUCUCUUCCCUUUGCUUCCAUUCCCUUUGUUUCCCUGUUUCUCACUGUAUAAGGGAUCAUCUCUUUAGACAGAACUCUGGUAUUUAUUUUCAUUAAGAUUUUCAUGUUAUCCAAAUCUUUUUC